This 253-nucleotide ribosomal RNA is filed under the name uncultured bacterium. Its description in RNAcentral is "partial 16S ribosomal RNA". It matches the Rfam family "Bacterial small subunit ribosomal RNA", at positions 524 to 776 of the family's 1533-position model. The record is from RNAcentral.
UACGUAGGGUGCAAGCGUUAAUCGGAAUUACUGGGCGUAAAGCGUGCGCAGGCGGUUAUGUAAGACAGGGGUGAAAUCCCCGGGCUUAACCUGGGAACUGCAUUUGUGACUGCAUAGCUAGAGUACGGUAGAGGGGGAUGGGAUUCCGCGUGUAGCAGUGAAAUGCGUAGAUAUGCGAAGGAACACCGAUGGCGAAGGCAAUCCCCUGGACCUGUACUGACGCUCAUGCACGAAAGCGUGGGGAGCAAACAGG